RNAcentral lists this ribosomal RNA (253 nucleotides) under uncultured bacterium. Its description in RNAcentral is "partial 16S ribosomal RNA". It matches the Rfam family "Bacterial small subunit ribosomal RNA", at positions 524 to 776 of the family's 1533-position model. The record is from RNAcentral.
UACGAAGGGGGCUAGCGUUGUUCGGAAUUACUGGGCGUAAAGCGUGCGCAGGCGGUUCGUACAGUCAGACGUGAAAUUCCCGGGCUCAACCUGGGGGCUGCGUUUGAUACGUACGGGCUUGAGUUCGGAAGAGGGUCGUGGAAUUCCCAGUGUAGAGGUGAAAUUCGUAGAUAUUGGGAAGAACACCGGUGGCGAAGGCGGCGACCUGGUCCGAUACUGACGCUGAGGCGCGAAAGCGUGGGGAGCAAACAGG